This 460-nucleotide ribosomal RNA is filed under the name uncultured bacterium. RNAcentral describes it as "partial 16S ribosomal RNA". It matches the Rfam family "Bacterial small subunit ribosomal RNA", at positions 338 to 795 of the family's 1533-position model. The record is from RNAcentral.
CCUACGGGGUGCAGCAGUGAGGAAUAUUGGUCAAUGGACGAGAGUCUGAACCAGCCAAGUAGCGUGAAGGAUGACUGCCCUAUGGGUUGUAAACUUCUUUUAUAUGGGAAUAAAAUGUUCCACGUGUGGGAUUUUGUAUGUACCAUAUGAAUAAGGAUCGGCUAACGCCGUGCCAGCAGCCGCGGUAAUACGGAGGAUCCGAGCGUUAUCCGGAUUUAUUGGGUUUAAAGGGAGCGUAGGUGGAUUGUUAAGUCAGUUGUGAAAGUUUGCGGCUCAACCGUAAAAUUGCAGUUGAAACUGGCAGUCUUGAGUACAGUAGAGGUGGGCGGAAUUCGUGGUGUAGCGGUGAAAUGCUUAGAUAUCACGAAGAACUCCGAUUGCGAAGGCAGUUCACUGGACUGCAACUGACACUGAGGCUCGAAAGUGUGGGUAUCAAACAGGAUUAGAUACCCUUGUAGUC